Molecule: long non-coding RNA, 820 nt
Organism: Maniola jurtina (meadow brown)
Lineage: Eukaryota; Metazoa; Arthropoda; Insecta; Lepidoptera; Nymphalidae
Exons: 2
Source: RefSeq, a predicted model, not a curated record
UAAAUGUGUGCGUUUGCGAGCGCUUGCUCGCGACUGAUUGGUCCAACAUGCACGCACACUUACGCAAUACCCAUGUAUACGACGUAACCACUAGUAAAGUUCACUCGCCUUCGUGAAUUGCAAGAACUAUACAUAAAAUAUGGUAGAAAAAGCCGCCUUACCAUUAAAGUGCGCCCACCAAAAGAAUCGCUUGGUUUUUAUAUCGAGCUCAUUAUAGUUGUGAAAAAGCCUUCGAUAAGAUGAUGGCUAUAAAUGUGGUGGGUUCCAUUCACACACCGUAGAAAGAAACCUUAUUAAAUUUAGAACUGACUGCUUUAUAGUUUGCAUUAAGCUUUAUUUACGCCAGAGUAACAUAGUGCGAUAUUGCGGGCCGUACGUACUAUAUAAUUUAUAAAGGUCUUCUGACGAUUCUUGCUAGUCUCUUCAAGAAUCGUCAGUAGAAUCAUUAUCAACCCAUCACCGGCCCACUAUGAAAACAGGUCACCUCGUAGAAUGAGAAAGGUUUAGCCGUAGUCCACCACGCUAGCCAAGUGCAGGUUGGCAGACUUCACACACCUUUGAGAACAUUAUGGAGAACUCAGUCAUGCAAGUUUUGUCAAAUGUUUUCUUCUAAAGUACAUAAUUGGUAUUUAAUUUCUUAAAACGUUCAUUAUCAAAAAAUACACUGCCGCGUUGUCACAUGUUGUUGCUCCGGCGUAAAAAGUAUUUUAGUAAUAGUAUACUUUUUCGUACUUACAUCAAUGUACUUACACUUAAAAUUUAUCGAUGUUAACAUGGCCAUUGUACUUUAUUUUUUGAAUAUAUUAUUUUUUUACUACUU